UGAGGAAUAUUGGUCAAUGGGCGAGAGCCUGAACCAGCCAAGUAGCGUGCAGGAUGACGGCCCUAUGGGUUGUAAACUGCUUUUAUAUGGGAAUAAAGUGAGGGACGUGUCCCUUAUUGCAUGUACCAUACGAAUAAGGACCGUCUAAUUCCGUGCCAGCAGCCGCGGUAAUACGGAAGGUCCAGGCGUUAUCCGGAUUUAUUGGGUUUAAAGGGAGCGUAGGCUGUUUGUUAAGCGUGUUGUGAAAUGUAGGAGCUCAACUUUUAGAUUGCAGCGCGAACUGGCAGACUUGAGUGCGCACAACGUAGGCGGAAUUCAUGGUGUAGCGGUGAAAUGCUUAGAUAUCAUGACGAACUCCGAUUGCGAAGGCAGCUUACGGGAGCGCAACUGACGCUAAAGCUCGAAGGUGCGGGUAUCGAACAGG
This 424-nucleotide ribosomal RNA is filed under the name Verrucomicrobiota bacterium. RNAcentral's name for it is "Verrucomicrobia bacterium partial 16S ribosomal RNA". It matches the Rfam family "Bacterial small subunit ribosomal RNA", at positions 355 to 776 of the family's 1533-position model. The record is from RNAcentral. Lineage: Bacteria; Pseudomonadati; Verrucomicrobiota.